This is a long non-coding RNA of Amblyraja radiata (thorny skate), 277 nucleotides long. RefSeq lists it as uncharacterized. The record is from RefSeq and is a predicted model, not a curated record. The transcript has 3 exons. Lineage: Eukaryota; Metazoa; Chordata; Chondrichthyes; Rajiformes; Rajidae.
UGUGGAUCCAGUACGGCCAUAAAAUACAUCGUGCCAACAUUUCAAAACUGCAGCUUGUGUCGAAAGGACUACGAGGUCGAUAUGCUGCCUGACCCGUUGAGCAUGUGGUGUCACAUUGGCAGGGAUAUGCACGGCAGAAUUUACUUGGCAUCUGAAUGUUGCUUUACCAGACCAAUGAAUGCCUGAGGCUGCCAAUGUGCCAGAGAAUCUGCAGCAUCUGUGUUCUCAAGAAAUGACCCGAGCAUCAAACAAAAGGCUUGAGACAAAAUGAUGAAAA